ACGAUGAACGCGAUAUACAGGCUUAACACAUGCAAGUCGAGGGGCAGCAUGAUCGAAGCUUGCUUUGAUUGAUGGCGACCGGCGCACGGGUGCGUAACGCGUAUCCAAUCUACCCUACACACAGGGAGAGCCCAUCGAAAGAUGGAUUAAUACCUGAUAGUUUAGAGCGACCGCAUGAUUGCUUUAAUAAAGAUUUAUCGGUGUAGGAUGAGGAUGCGACUGAUUAGAUAGUUGGCGGGGUAACGGCCCACCAAGUCAACGAUCAGUAGGGGUUCUGAGAGGAAGGUCCCCCACAUUGGAACUGAGACACGGUCCAAACUCCUACGGGAGGCAGCAGUGAGGAAUAUUGGUCAAUGGACGAGAGUCUGAACCAGCCAAGUAGCGUGAAGGAUGACUGCCCUAUGGGUUGUAAACUUCUUUUGUUUGGGAAUAAAGUGCGGGACGUGUCCCGCUUUGUAUGUACCUUACGAAUAAGCAUCGGCUAAUUCCGUGCCAGCAGCCGCGGUAAUACGGAAGAUGCGAGCGUUAUCCGGAUUUAUUGGGUUUAAAGGGAGCGUAGGCGGACUGGUAAGUCAGCGGUCAAAUGUCAGGGCCCAACCUUGGCAUGCCGUUGAUACUGUUGGUCUUGAGUUCACGCAAGGUAAGUGGAAUUCGUUGUGUAGCGGUGAAAUGCUUAGAUAUGACGAAGAACUCCGAUUGCGAAGGCAGCUUACUGGAGUGUUACUGACGCUGAGGCUCGAAAGUGCGGGAAUCAAACAGGAUUAGAUACCCUGGUAGUCCGCACCGUAAACGAUGAAUGCUCGUCAUUGGCGAUACACAGUCAGUGACUGAGGGAAACCAUUAAGCAUUCCACCUGGGGAGUACGCCGGCAACGGUGAAACUCAAAGGAAUUGACGGGGGCCCGCACAAGCGGAGGAACAUGUGGUUUAAUUCGAUGAUACGCGAGGAACCUUACCCGGGCUUGAAUUGUGUCUGACCGACUCAGAGAUGAGUUUUCCCUUCGGGGCAGGCAUGAAGGUGCUGCAUGGUUGUCGUCAGCUCGUGCCGUGAGGUGUCGGCUUAAGUGCCAUAACGAGCGCAACCCUUGCUGUCAGUUGCCAUCAGGUUAUGCUGGGCACUCUGGCGGGACUGCCAUCGCAAGAUGUGAGGAAGGUGGGGAUGACGUCAAAUCAGCACGGCCCUUACGUCCGGGGCUACACACGUGUUACAAUGGGGGGCACAGCGCGCCGCUACCUGGUGACAGGUUGCCAAUCGUGAAAUCCCCUCUCAGUUCGGACUGGAGUCUGCAACCCGACUC
This 1297-nucleotide ribosomal RNA is filed under the name uncultured Prevotellaceae bacterium. RNAcentral describes it as "bacterial SSU rRNA". It matches the Rfam family "Bacterial small subunit ribosomal RNA", at positions 26 to 1318 of the family's 1533-position model. Lineage: Bacteria; Pseudomonadati; Bacteroidota; Bacteroidia; Bacteroidales; Prevotellaceae. The record is from RNAcentral.